RNAcentral lists this long non-coding RNA (235 nucleotides) under Trifolium pratense (red clover). RNAcentral's name for it is "long non-coding RNA (TPRA_LNC002847)". The record is from RNAcentral. Lineage: Eukaryota; Viridiplantae; Streptophyta; Magnoliopsida; Fabales; Fabaceae.
CAAAUCCAGAUCGAACGGGAGAACCGAGACAACUUUCGCCCACAUUAAGAAUGGCGCAAGAAUAGUUAUUAUUGUUCCACUUAAUAUAUCUAUCAACUAGCCCGGCGUUGGAAGCGGGGAAAAAGCAGUUUCUGAAAAUUUCGACCAUAAUUUUGAUGUUAAAGAAGAGCCAGCUGAGGGACCAAUUCUCAUCGUUCAGGCACAUCAGGUUGCGAAGGCUCUUUGUGUUUAUUUG